RNAcentral lists this ribosomal RNA (560 nucleotides) under Perlesta shubuta. Its description in RNAcentral is "partial large subunit ribosomal RNA". It matches the Rfam family "Bacterial large subunit ribosomal RNA", at positions 1731 to 2576 of the family's 2925-position model. Lineage: Eukaryota; Metazoa; Arthropoda; Insecta; Plecoptera; Perlidae. The record is from RNAcentral.
CCUAUCAGUGAUAGAGACCGAUGUCGAGUUUACUCCCUAUCAGUGAUACCGCCUGUUUAUCAAAAACAUGUCCUCUCGGCGUGAAUUUGAGGUCUGACCUGCCCACUGAAUUAAUUUGAAGGGCCGCGGUAUUUUGACCGUGCAAAGGUAGCAUAAUCAUUAGUCUUUUAAUUGAAGGCUAGAAUGAAUGGUUGGACGAGGUGCUGGCUGUCUCACGACAAUUGAGAAUGGAAUUUAACUUUUAAGUCAAAAGGCUUAAAUGGGGUUAAAGGACGAGAAGACCCUAUAGAGCUUUAUAUUAUGCUGUUUAUUAAAUAUGUAGGUGUUUUGUUUUAAUAGGUAAAUUAAUAUUUUAUUGGGGUGAUAGGAAGAUAAAAUAAACUCUUCUUGUAAUUAAGACCAUUGAUGUAUGGGUUGAUGAUCCGUUAAUAACGAUUAUAAGAUUAAGUUACCUUAGGGAUAACAGCGUAAUCUUUUUUGAGAGUUCUUAUCGACAAAAAGGGUUGCGACCUCGAUGUUGGAUUAAGGUUAAUUUUGGGUGUAGAUGUUCAAAAUUUAGG